AACUGGAUCAAGGACAUGUCUUUAAACAGUGGAUUGGAUCUGUAGAGGUAAUUACAAUUAUUUUUUUGACUUGGUAGCUUGACUAAAUUGAAGAAUUGCAUUCAGUUUGGGUUUUGUAUGUUCUUAAAUAGCUACUGAAAUCUUGUUAAGUCAAAAAAUAAAAGUCUUCAUCCUCUUAUUUGGACAUUUUCUCUUUAAAAAGCUUUUCCAUCAAAGUACCUUUACUAACAUGUGCUUGGUGUAGUUCAUUUAUUGUUUAAGUGCCAGUCAUCUUAUUUCUAAAAACUGAUCAUCAGUGUGAAAAAAGUUUGAAGAUUAUUUCAGUUUGCAUAUGCCAAUAAUUAUUCCAAACCUUGUUUAUAAGCAUUUGUAUCUCUGGUGGACAAAUACUUGGUUUUACACUGAAAGUUGAGCUGCGAAUAAAUUAUGUAUUUUAACAUUAAU
This 444-nucleotide long non-coding RNA is filed under the name Bos taurus (domestic cattle). RNAcentral describes it as "long non-coding RNA NONBTAT024370". The record is from RNAcentral. Lineage: Eukaryota; Metazoa; Chordata; Mammalia; Artiodactyla; Bovidae.